GAUGAACGCUGGCGGCGUGCCUAAUACAUGCAAGUCGAGCGAACAGACGAGGAGCUUGCUCCUCUGACGUUAGCGGCGGACGGGUGAGUAACACGUGGAUAACCUACCUAUAAGACUGGGAUAACUUCGGGAAACCGGAGCUAAUACCGGAUAACAUGUUGAACCGCAUGGUUCAACAGUGAAAGACGGUCUUGCGGUCACUUAUAGAUGGAUCCGCGCCGCAUUAGCUAGUUGGUAAGGUAACGGCUUACCAAGGCAACGAUGCGUAGCCGACCUGAGAGGGUGAUCGGCCGCCCUGGAACGGAGACACGGUCCAGACGCCUACGGGAGGCAGCAGUAGGGAAUCUUCCGCCAUGGGCGAAAGCCUGACGGAGCAACGCCGCGUGAGUGAAGAACGUCUUCGGAUCGGAAAACUCUGUUAUUAGGGAAUAACAAAUGUGUAAGUAACUAGGCACGUCUUGACGGUACCUAAGUAGAAAGCCACGGCUAACUACGUU
Molecule: ribosomal RNA, 497 nt
Filed under: uncultured bacterium
Lineage: Bacteria
Description: partial 16S ribosomal RNA
Rfam family: Bacterial small subunit ribosomal RNA
Source: RNAcentral